Molecule: ribosomal RNA, 351 nt
Filed under: uncultured bacterium
Lineage: Bacteria
Description: bacterial SSU rRNA
Rfam family: Bacterial small subunit ribosomal RNA
Source: RNAcentral
AGAGUUUGUUCAUGGCUCAGGAUGAACGCUGGCUACAGGCUUAACACAUGCAAGUCGAGGGGCAGCGGGAUUGAAGCUUGCUUCAAUUGCCGGCGACCGGCGCACGGGUGAGUAACGCGUAUCCAACCUUCCGUACACUCAGGGAUAGCCCUUCGAAAGAAAGAUUAAUACCUGAUGGUAUGAUGAAAUUGCAUGAUAGCAUCAUUAAAGAUUUAUCGGUGUACGAUGGGGAUGCGUUCCAUUAGGUAGUAGGCGGGGUAACGGCCCACCUAGCCUACGAUGGAUAGGGGUUCUGAGAGGAAGGUCCCCCACAUUGGAACUGAGACACGGUCCAAACUCCUACGGGAGGCA